UGCUGGUUUCCUCUACCUUCCACAGGGGAGU
This 31-nucleotide non-coding RNA is filed under the name Homo sapiens (human). The record is from RNAcentral. Lineage: Eukaryota; Metazoa; Chordata; Mammalia; Primates; Hominidae.